UGGGGAAUUUUGGACAAUGGGCGCAAGCCCGAUCCAGCCAUGCCGCGUGAGUGAAGAAGGCCUUCGGGUUGUAAAGCUCUUUCGGCAGGAACGAAAUGGUUCGCGUUAAUACCGCGGACUGAUGACGGUACCUGAAGAGGAAGCACCGGCUAACUACGUGCCAGCAGCCGCGGUAAUACGUAGGGUGCGAGCGUUAAUCGGAAUUACUGGGCGUAAAGCGUGCGCAGGCGGUUUCUUAAGUCAGAUGCGGAAGCCCCGGGCUUAACCUGGGAACAGCGUUUGAAACUGGGAGACUUGAGUGUGGCAGAGGGGGGUGGAAUUCCACGUGUAGCGGUGAAAUGCGUAGAUAUGUGGAGGAACACCGAUGGCGAAGGCAGCCCCCUGGGUUAACACUGACGCUCAUGCACGAAAGCGUGGGGAGCAAACAGG
This 429-nucleotide ribosomal RNA is filed under the name uncultured bacterium. RNAcentral describes it as "bacterial SSU rRNA". It matches the Rfam family "Bacterial small subunit ribosomal RNA", at positions 355 to 776 of the family's 1533-position model. The record is from RNAcentral.